Molecule: ribosomal RNA, 472 nt
Filed under: uncultured bacterium
Lineage: Bacteria
Description: bacterial SSU rRNA
Rfam family: Bacterial small subunit ribosomal RNA
Source: RNAcentral
UGGGGAAUAUUGGACAAUGGGCGCAAGCCUGAUCCAGCCAUGCCGCGUGCGGGAAGAAGGCCUUCGGGUUGUAAACCGCUUUUGUCAGGGAAGAAACGCUCUGGGCUAAUACCCUGGGGUAAUGACGGUACCUGAAGAAUAAGCACCGGCUAACUACGUGCCAGCAGCCGCGGUAAUACGUAGGGUGCAAGCGUUAAUCGGAAUUACUGGGCGUAAAGCGUGCGCAGGCGGUUAUGCAAGACAGAUGUGAAAUCCCCGGGCUCAACCUGGGAACUGCAUUUGUGACUGUAUAGCUAGAGUACGGUAGAGGGGGAUGGAAUUCCGCGUGUAGCAGUGAAAUGCGUAGAUAUGCGGAGGAACACCGAUGGCGAAGGCAAUCCCCUGGACCUGUACUGACGCUCAUGCACGAAAGCGUGGGGAGCAAACAGGAUUAGAUACCCAUGUAGUCCCUGAGCGGGCUGGCAAGGCGCAU